GUCGAGAGAGAGAGAGAGAGAGAGAGAGAGAGAGAGAGAGCUGGGAGCUCCCUGACCCGAGACGCAGCGCGACCCGACAACGUGACCCGGCCAUUGCGCCACGUUCCGGCCACCCCAAGACGGCGCCCAGGUGCCAUUCCCUUCGUCUUUUCGUCGCCUACGUUCCUGUGUCCUCGGAUCAUACAUGCAACGAUCGUGAACUGAGAAUCAACGGCGAGUUUCUGCAACUUCCGGCGACUCCGGCCACCGUUUGGGCCACCUGGGGUAUGAAACCUCCUCUCCCCUUCAUGCUCUUCAAGUCUGUGUAAUUAGUUCUUCCAUUCGAUCGAUUUUGACUGAUUUGCGUUUUGGGUAGCCACGGCUCCGCCGUGUCCUUCGAGUCCAGCAACGUCUCCAGCGCUUCUAGCUUAGGUGGUGUGCGACAGAUGAUUCACUAUUCGUACUCUACACGCUGGCGUACCUAGUCUGCGAGUUCGAUCAAGAUUUUGGAGAAACUGAGUUGAUAGCAGUGGAACUUUGAAGGUAUAAUUCGAAUCUUGAAUAGUUAGAGAAUUGAAAUUGGCUUGGUACUGUGAUGUUGAUGUCUCUCUGUGAAUCUGUCAUGUUGGCUUACUCUGGGUGUUUGGAGCUUGUGAAUGAGCUGAUCGAGUAAAGGGCAUAGCAGUGGCUCUGUACCGUGUUGAGUUUGAGAAGCUUGGUUCAUGAAUGAUUCCUAUGAACUAUGAUCAAAGGAUUCCAGUUACCCGGAAUGCGAGUUUACUCGGAAAACAAGCUAUGGUGGUGUUGGCCUAGAAAAGCAAAUGAAGUCAAAGUUGCAAUAUUCCAGGUAGGGGAUUCUAGACUCGCCUCAGUAACUUUUAUGCAUAUAUUUUAAGGAAAUUAAAGAUGCAUGAAAAAGAAUUUGGUUUUUAUUGCAUUUCCUAUAAGUUAUUGUUUGAUGACCUGAGAGUGAGAGGAGCAUAGUGACUUCCUUGGGCUUCGAUCCCCUAAACCUCCAGAGGGGCUGUAUGGACUGAAAAGUGUCUGACAUCCGUUGAGGUGUGGCACUGCUUCUAGGUGAUACGGUGUAAGAGAACACUCUAGCUACACAUUGCAGGUGUAAACGGUAUUAAUCGUGGUAAGGUUUUAGUUGGCAUAGCGAUCGGUCAUCAAGUCUGUUUCAUUCUUUUGGGCCCUACUAUAUUUUUAUAAACGAACUACGGUUUGUGGUUUCAAACAUCUUUAUCUAUAUGCAUUGUUUCUCACUUACUUUGUCGGCAUCUAUAUUUUAAAUUAUUUUUGCACCUAGCUGGGGUAGAGUCUUAUUGAGCAGCGAGGACGAAAGCUCACCCCCUACAACAGUUUGUGGAUGCAAGUACUGUGUACGAAGACGGGGCAGUUGGAUGAUGCUAAUUGUGGCUUAGUUACCUUGUACUUUAAAUGGUCAUCGACGGAGUUAGAUCCGCGUGACAGGUUCUCUUAUUACCUUUACUCUCGUGUAACUUGUUUACCGAGGUUGUGAUUAUUUGUAAAAUACCUCUUUUGUAUAUUUUUCGGACUUUGGCCUUGAACUGGAUGAACUUUCGAUAAUUGAUUUGAAAUGACUUGUAUUUGUUUUCUUUAAA
Rosa chinensis is the source of this 1604-nucleotide long non-coding RNA. RefSeq lists it as uncharacterized. NCBI's taxonomy places the organism in Eukaryota, Viridiplantae, Streptophyta, Magnoliopsida, Rosales, Rosaceae. The record is from RefSeq and is a predicted model, not a curated record. The transcript has 2 exons.